CGGCCGGUUUGGAAGACGUCAGAUGUGACGAUCAUUGAUUGUGCCUUAACAGCGAUUUUUUCCAUUCGUUUCCCUAUUUACUUGGUUCCUCCCGGCCGGACGGGUUAUCAGGCGCGGACACGCAGGCGCGAUCCCUAACCCUCCGGCGCUUGCGUGCCAAAUCUACGCGAAUAAAAUCCGAUCAGCUGUUGCCCCAAUUUCGCUACUCCACGACACUAGUUGUAUUAAACGGAGGAAGUGUAUAGUUGUCCGGGAUAUCUUGAGGACCUCACUUUUAAAGGCAUUUGGACAAGGCCUUCAGACAUGGUCUAUUUGAGCAAACCAUCACACGUUCACGUUUAUUAUAGAACAUUAUAAAAUAUUGUAUCAUUUUAACAGUCCUGAGAACCAAUAAAGGCAGACACGCGUUUAAACACCUCCCGCAUUACGGUACGUAAUUAUUAUACGUGUCGGUAUUCAAUGAAAAAGUAUUAUUCAAAUAUUAUAUACUGCAUUUUGGGGUCACAUAACGAUUUCCCGCAAGAUGAGAGAAAAAAAAACAAAAAAUGGAUUUGAUCAGUCUAGGGGCGUCAUUAAGCAGAGGCAGACUGGCCGGACUGGCAGUUCGGGCAGUUUGGUUGGAUAAGUAACUUGUCACUAUUUUUAAAUUACUAUACGAGUU
Long non-coding RNA from Myzus persicae (green peach aphid), 661 nucleotides. RefSeq lists it as uncharacterized. NCBI's taxonomy places the organism in Eukaryota, Metazoa, Arthropoda, Insecta, Hemiptera, Aphididae. The record is from RefSeq and is a predicted model, not a curated record. The transcript is spliced from 3 exons.